UACGAAGGGGGCUAGCGUUGUUCGGAAUUACUGGGCGUAAAGGGCGCGCAGGCGGCUCUUCAAGUCAGAUGUGAAAGCCCCGGGCUCAACCUGGGAACUGCAUUUGAGACUGGAGAGCUUGAGUUCGGGAGAGGAUGGUGGAAUUCCCAGUGUAGAGGUGAAAUUCGUAGAUAUUGGGAAGAACACCGGUGGCGAAGGCGGCGACCUGGUCCGAUACUGACGCUGAGGCGCGAAAGCGUGGGGAGCAAACAGG
This 253-nucleotide ribosomal RNA is filed under the name uncultured bacterium. RNAcentral describes it as "partial 16S ribosomal RNA". It matches the Rfam family "Bacterial small subunit ribosomal RNA", at positions 524 to 776 of the family's 1533-position model. The record is from RNAcentral.